GGAGGAGGCACCGGCGCGCGUGGCUGUCGGCAGGACUCGCCCACCCCGCCGGGCGCUUUUGUGUCUUUUUCUGUUUUGUUUGGUGUUUGUGUUUUGGGAUUUUUUUUUUUUUUGUUUUUUUUUUUUUUUUUUUUUUUUUUUUUUUUUUUUUUUUUUUUUUUUUUUUUUUUUUUUUUUUUUUUUUUUUUUUGAGGGCUGCAGACAGUGUAACCGCACCCACAUGAAGCGGAAGCGCAUUUUUUGUGUAGGACUGGCUAUGGUUGCAGAGAU
Molecule: long non-coding RNA, 270 nt
Filed under: Junco hyemalis (dark-eyed junco)
Lineage: Eukaryota; Metazoa; Chordata; Aves; Passeriformes; Passerellidae
Description: lncRNA (ENSJHYG00000014867.1)
Source: RNAcentral